UACAGAGGUGGCGAGCGUUGUUCGGAUUUAUUGGGCGUAAAGGGUCCGUAGGCGGUCUGGAAAGUUGGAUGUGAAAUCCUGCAGCUUAACUGCAGAACUGCAUUCAAAACUCCCGGACUCGAGUUUGAGAGGGGUAAAGGGAAUUCCCGGUGUAAGGGUGAAAUCUGCAGAUAUCGGGAAGAACACCAGUCGCGAAGGCGCUUUACUGGCUCACAACUGACGCUGAGGGACGAAAGCUAGGGGAGCAAACAGG
RNAcentral lists this unclassified non-coding RNA (253 nucleotides) under uncultured bacterium. Its description in RNAcentral is "contains 16S-23S intergenic spacer region". It matches the Rfam family "Bacterial small subunit ribosomal RNA", at positions 524 to 776 of the family's 1533-position model. The record is from RNAcentral.